RNAcentral lists this ribosomal RNA (253 nucleotides) under uncultured bacterium. RNAcentral describes it as "partial 16S ribosomal RNA". It matches the Rfam family "Bacterial small subunit ribosomal RNA", at positions 524 to 776 of the family's 1533-position model. The record is from RNAcentral.
UACAGAGGCCCCAAGCGUUACUGGGAAUCACUGGGCUUAAAGGGUGCGUAGGUGGUCCGUUAAGUUCGUUGUGAAAUCCCUGGGCUCAACCCAGGAAAUGCUUCGAAUACUGGCGGACUUGAGGCUAGUAGAGGUCACUGGAACUGACGGUGGAGCGGUGAAAUGCGUAGAUAUCAGGAGGAACACCGGUGGCGAAGGCGGUUCUCUGGGCAUGUCCUGACGCUGAGGAGCGAAAGUGUGGGGAGCGAACAGG